This is a long non-coding RNA of Salvelinus fontinalis (brook trout), 2455 nucleotides long. RefSeq lists it as uncharacterized. NCBI's taxonomy places the organism in Eukaryota, Metazoa, Chordata, Actinopteri, Salmoniformes, Salmonidae. The transcript has 6 exons. The record is from RefSeq and is a predicted model, not a curated record.
GUUUGAACACCACGUUUUUGUGGGUUGGCUUCUCGUUGAUUGCCUCUUUUACGCACGCUUCCCACACUCACCCAGUCCAUUCUGUGUAAAGCUCCACUACUCUUCUUAGCCAAGCCGAGUUUUUGCGUGCUAGUAAUUUUAAAUGCUCAAAAAUAACAGCAUGCCUGCUGGCAGGGAGACUUUAACGUGAUGUAAGACAGCCAGCAGAGCGUUCAGUCAGAGAAGGGCCUGUUCUUGGAUGUAGCCUGUAGUCUUGCUGUCAAGUUCUGUUAAUUUAAUUAAAGAGAGACCAUGAGAAUACAGAGAAAUAGGGGAACAAGUCCAUGUAACCGACUUACAUUAAAAGAGUAUGUGUUUUAUGCAGGUUGGGAACAGCUGGAGUCACACAUUUAUUUGUGGGUGGGGACUACAUAUCCCAUCGGCCGCUGCCCAAAUUCUUUGGGUUAGCAGCUCUCAGCAUGGCUUAGUUAUGUGCUGGCUUUUACCGCGUGAUAAGCGACUAUUUGGAAAUGCAAAGAAGCGUGAGAAACUAGUGCGCGGCUGCAUUGCAAACCGCUGAAUCGCGCUACAGUCGAACAAGGCAACGCAAAGAACAUACUGGACUACGCGAGGACAUUUCAUCCACAUCUGGAUUUAUUCUGUUUAAGUGGAUUUUAUAAAUGAAGCCGUUUUCGCAGUUGUGUGCUCUUUAGUUCAUUGACUAUUGGAUCUCAUGGGAUAGCCUAUCGCUUGUCCCACGGUCAGAUGUGCGUGCGUUGUGGAGAGCUUUGUAUGGAGUUGUGUUCAGCUGAGGAUUAUUUUACCUGUGCGUGGGGGUUCUUCAUUUACAUUUUGACAUCCAUAUAUUUUUUACGCAUCAUGCUUAUGAAUAUUAUUAUCCCGUGUCAUAUCCAUAGGCUACAGUUGCCCAGGAGUUGGGCUUUCAGAACUCAUCACCAUCCGAUACACAGGUGGAUGUCACAUAACGGCCCUGUGCGUGAUGUAAGAAGAUUCUGGAUUUUUGGAUUGUAAAAUGUCACCUCUGGAUCAAAUGUAGCAAGAACAUAGUUUUGCAUUGGCCUGACAGGGGGUCUCUGGUCUUCUCUCUAGCCAAGUGGAACUGUCCCUGGCCAGCACCCUGCAGCUGUUCUCCAUUCAGACACACAAGAAGUUAACCUCCUACUCCCUCUUAUCCCUCCUGCUUCCCCCCCAUCCCCCAGAAUGAAAGAGAAAGGAGAGGGGAGAAGUCAGUAAAUAUGUUUCUGAUCGAGAAGUGCGCGCCACAAAUGCCUUGGCGAGCCCGAAGACAACAGGGAAUCCCGGGUGUGAAGACAGGUGCCAAACGGUGACAACAUCUGAAAGGGAAUGUGUUUACUUCCAGAGGUGCGUAUGGGGUCACCGCCACCUCCUCGGUGACAAACAAGCUGCCAUGGCGAUGGCAAGCAAACAGGGCAGGCCAGCCGUGAUUUCAUCAUUUGGCACCAUGAGAUGAAGAAAUGGGUGUGAGGACAUGAACCCCAUCCCUCCGACUGAGCUGGUAGCUGAGUGGGAUAGUGAGCGUGCGCCCCUCCAACCAGCGAGUUCUGAGGAGAGUCAGAUAGAACAUAUAGACUGAACGUACCGGUUGAAAGAGAGCGAAAAUGAGAAAGAGAGUGACUCACGCUCUCCUCCCUGCUCAUCCAUCCCAUCCGUCGCUCCAUCUGGUUUGUAUUUGUUUGGAUGUUUCUCCACCUCCAGCCUCUGGGUAGAACCGGCGCCAAGGCCCAGAUGGCUGCCGACCCAGCCGCACCAGCCCACCGCGGAGAGGGUACACUGGGUUGGAGAAUGCCUGGGCCUGACUCUUGGCUGGGGUAUGGAUGGUGGGCUAUGGUGGGGAAGGGAAGGGCGGACUUGGCUGGUGAUGGGACUCGGAUGGACCGCACUCCGGCGACGACGCGAACAUCCAUCGAUCAUCCGUCGCAUUGGUUGACAGUUUAUCCCCUCUGCGCUGAGGACGGGAACCCAGUGGGUGUUGAAGGGCGCAUUGCGGCGUCCUCAGUUGACAGUCAGAGACGUCAGAGAGGACGUCACGCAGUGGGCUGGCCGGUGCCAGGACUGAGAGACUGGCCAGACGUCUGUGAGAUCAGUUUCUGAGACUGGCGUCUCAUAGGACUGGCGCGUAGCAUCAGUACCAGACUGCUAGACUCAGCAUGUCAGCUGGGAUGGGAAACUAUUUUACGCUCGAAAUCUGAAUACCAUGUCUAAAUGUAGAGGUUUUGAGUUAUAUGUUUUUUUAAAUUAUUAUUAUUAUUAUUUGACCUUUAUUUAACCAGGGAAGACAUAUACAGUACAAAUAUAAGCAUUAUACACAAUAUAUACAUAUAAACGCAUUAUAUCAUGCUGUAUGGAGAACAUGAUUUGUCUUUGCAGUCCCAGCCUUAUGGCCUUUGUUUUGUUUAUUCCUCGUCUUGUCUAAAUAAAAGAGGCCUAAGCAGAA